CCUACGGUGGCAGCAGUGAGGAAUAUUGGUUCAUGGGCGCGAGCCUGAACCAGCCAAGUCGCGUGAGGGAGGACGGCCCUACGGGUUGUAAACCUCCUUUUCCGGGGAGCAACGGGCGUCACGUUUGGCGCCACUGAGAGUACCCGGAGAAAAAGCAUCGGCUAACUCCGUGCCAGCAGCCGCGGUAAUACGGAGGAUGCGAGCGUUAUCCGGAUUUAUUGGGUUUAAAGGGAGCGUAGAUGGGAGUGUAAGUCUGGUGUGAAAGGCGGGGGCUCAACCCCCGGACUGCAGUGGAAACUGUACGGCUGGAGUGCAGGAGAGGUAGGUGGAAUUCGUGGUGUAGCGGUGAAAUGCGUAGAUAUUAGGAGGAACACCAGUGGCGAAGGCAGCUUACUGGACUGUAACUGACGUUGAGGCUCGAAAGCGUGGGGAGCAAACAGGAUUAGAUACCCUUGUAGUC
This 460-nucleotide ribosomal RNA is filed under the name uncultured bacterium. RNAcentral describes it as "partial 16S ribosomal RNA". It matches the Rfam family "Bacterial small subunit ribosomal RNA", at positions 338 to 795 of the family's 1533-position model. The record is from RNAcentral.